This 253-nucleotide ribosomal RNA is filed under the name uncultured bacterium. RNAcentral describes it as "partial 16S ribosomal RNA". It matches the Rfam family "Bacterial small subunit ribosomal RNA", at positions 524 to 776 of the family's 1533-position model. The record is from RNAcentral.
UACGUAGGGGGCUAGCGUUGUCCGGAAUCAUUGGGCGUAAAGCGCGUGUAGGCGGUCCGGUAAGUCCGCUGUGAAAGUCGGGGGCUCAACCCUCGGAUGCCGGUGGAUACUGUCGGGCUUGAGUACGGAAGAGGCGAGUGGAAUUCCUGGUGUAGCGGUGAAAUGCGCAGAUAUUGGGAAGAACACCAGUGGCGAAGGCGGCUCACUGGCCCGUAACUGACGCUGAGGUGCGAAAGCGUGGGGAGCAAACAGG